AACGUAGGACGCAAGCGUUAUCCGGAGUUACUGGGCGUAAAGAGCGCGCAGGCGGGUUGUUAAGUUCUGCAUGAAAGCUCCUGGCUAAACUGGGAGAGGAUGGAGGAUACUGACAGCCUAGAGUGAGGAAGAGGAAGGUGGAAUUCCGCGUGUAGUGGUGAAAUGCGUAGAGAUGCGGAGGAACACCAGUGGCGAAGGCGGCCUUCUGGUCCUCAACUGACGCUGAGGCGCGAAAGCAUGGGUAGCGAACGGG
RNAcentral lists this ribosomal RNA (253 nucleotides) under uncultured prokaryote. RNAcentral's name for it is "partial 16S ribosomal RNA". It matches the Rfam family "Bacterial small subunit ribosomal RNA", at positions 524 to 776 of the family's 1533-position model. The record is from RNAcentral.